UCCGUAGGCGGACUUAUAAGUCAGUGGUGAAAGCCUGUCGCUUAACGAUAGAACUGCCAUUGAUACUGUAAGUCUUGAGUAUAUUUGAGGUAGCUGGAAUAAGUAGUGUAGCGGUGAAAUGCAUAGAUAUUACUUAGAACACCAAUUGCGAAGGCAGGUUACCAAGAUAUAACUGACGCUGAGGGACGAAAGCGUGGGAGCGAACA
RNAcentral lists this ribosomal RNA (206 nucleotides) under uncultured bacterium. RNAcentral describes it as "partial 16S ribosomal RNA". It matches the Rfam family "Bacterial small subunit ribosomal RNA", at positions 568 to 774 of the family's 1533-position model. The record is from RNAcentral.